RNAcentral lists this ribosomal RNA (510 nucleotides) under uncultured bacterium. RNAcentral's name for it is "partial 16S ribosomal RNA". It matches the Rfam family "Bacterial small subunit ribosomal RNA", at positions 28 to 507 of the family's 1533-position model. The record is from RNAcentral.
GACGAACGCUGGCGGCGUGCUUAACACAUGCAAGUCGAACGAAGAGCGAUGGAAGCUUGCUUCUAUCAAUCUUAGUGGCGAACGGGUGAGUAACGCGUAAUCAACCUGCCCUUCAGAGGGGGACAACAGUUGGAAACGACUGCUAAUACCGCAUACGAUCUAAUCUCGGCAUCGAGGAUAGAUGAAAGGUGGCCUCUACAUGUAAGCUAUCACUGAAGGAGGGGAUUGCGUCUGAUUAGCUAGUUGGAGGGGUAACGGCCCACCAAGGCGAGGAUCAGUAGCCGGUCUGAGAGGAUGAACGGCCACAUUGGGACUGAGACACGGCCCAGACUCCUACGGGAGGCAGCAGUGGGGAAUCUUCCGCAAUGGACGAAAGUCUGACGGAGCAACGCCGCGUGAGUGAUGACGGCCUUCGGGUUGUAAAGCUCUGUUAAUCGGGACGAAAGGCCUUCUUGCGAAUAGUGAGAAGGAUUGACGGUACCGGAAGAGAAAGCCACGGCUAACUACGUG